Molecule: ribosomal RNA, 509 nt
Filed under: uncultured bacterium
Lineage: Bacteria
Description: bacterial SSU rRNA
Rfam family: Bacterial small subunit ribosomal RNA
Source: RNAcentral
AGAGUUUGAUCAUGGCUCAGAGUGAACGCUGGCGGCAGGCCUAAUACAUGCAAGUCGAACGGCAGCACAGCAGAGCUUGCUCUGUGGGUGGCGAGUGGCGGACGGGUGAGGAAUACGUGGGAAUCUGCCCAGUCGUGGGGGAUAACGUAGGGAAACUUACGCUAAUACCGCAUGCGUCCUUCGGGGGAAAGCCGGGACCUUCGGGCCUGGCGCGAUUGGAUGAGCCCACGUCGGAUUAGCUAGUUGGCGGGGUAAAGGCCCACCAAGGCGACGAUCCGUAGCUGGUCUGAGAGGAUGAUCAGCCACACUGGAACUGAGACACGGUCCAGACUCCUACGGGAGGCAGCAGUAGGGAAUAUUGGACAAUGGGCGCAAGCCUGAUCCAGCCAUGCCGCGUGAGUGAAGAAGGCCCUCGGGUUGUAAAGCUCUUUUGUCCGGAAAGAAAAGCGCCGGGUUAAUACCCUGGUGUCCUGACGGUACCGGAAGAAUAAGCACCGGCUAACUUCGUG